UGGGCGUAAGCGCGCGCAGGCGGUUUCUUAAGUCUGAUGUGAAAGCCCACGGCUCAACCGUGGAGGGUCAUUGGAAACUGGGGAACUUGAGUGCAGAAGAGAAAAGCGGAAUUCCACGUGUAGCGGUGAAAUGCGUAGAGAUGUGGAGGAACACCAGUGGCGAAGGCGGCUUUUUGGUCUGUAACUGACGCUGAGGCGCGAAAGCGUGGGGAGCAAACAGGAUUAGAUACCCUGGUAGUCCACGCCGUAAACGAUGAGUGCUAAGUGUUAGAGGGUUUCCGCCCUUUAGUGCUGCAGCUAACGCAUUAAGCACUCCGCCUGGGGAGUACGGUCGCAAGACUGAAACUCAAAGGAAUUGACGGGGGCCCGCACAAGCGGUGGAGCAUGUGGUUUAUUUCUAAGCAACGCGAAGAACCUUACCA
RNAcentral lists this ribosomal RNA (422 nucleotides) under Priestia flexa. RNAcentral's name for it is "bacterial SSU rRNA". It matches the Rfam family "Bacterial small subunit ribosomal RNA", at positions 555 to 976 of the family's 1533-position model. Lineage: Bacteria; Bacillati; Bacillota; Bacilli; Caryophanales; Bacillaceae. The record is from RNAcentral.